RNAcentral lists this ribosomal RNA (577 nucleotides) under Salmonella enterica subsp. enterica serovar Kentucky. Its description in RNAcentral is "bacterial SSU rRNA". It matches the Rfam family "Bacterial small subunit ribosomal RNA", at positions 968 to 1533 of the family's 1533-position model. The record is from RNAcentral. Lineage: Bacteria; Pseudomonadati; Pseudomonadota; Gammaproteobacteria; Enterobacterales; Enterobacteriaceae.
ACCUUACCUGGUCUUGACAUCCACGGAAGUUUUCAGAGAUGAGAAUGUGCCUUCGGGAACCGUGAGACAGGUGCUGCAUGGCUGUCGUCAGCUCGUGUUGUGAAAUGUUGGGUUAAGUCCCGCAACGAGCGCAACCCUUAUCCUUUGUUGCCAGCGGUUAGGCCGGGAACUCAAAGGAGACUGCCAGUGAUAAACUGGAGGAAGGUGGGGAUGACGUCAAGUCAUCAUGGCCCUUACGACCAGGGCUACACACGUGCUACAAUGGCGCAUACAAAGAGAAGCGACCUCGCGAGAGCAAGCGGACCUCAUAAAGUGCGUCGUAGUCCGGAUUGGAGUCUGCAACUGGACUCCAUGAAGUCGGAAUCGCUAGUAAUCGUGGAUCAGAAUGCCACGGUGAAUACGUUCCCGGGCCUUGUACACACCGCCCGUCACACCAUGGGAGUGGGUUGCAAAAGAAGUAGGUAGCUUAACCUUCGGGAGGGCGCUUACCACUUUGUGAUUCAUGACUGGGGUGAAGUCGUAACAAGGUAACCGUAGGGGAACCUGCGGUUGGAUCACCUCCUUACCUUAAAGAAGC